GAUGAAGAACGUAGCGAAAUGCGAUAAGUAAUGUGAAUUGCAGAAUUCAGUGAAUCAUCGAAUCUUUGAACGCACAUUGCGCCCGCCAGUAUUCUGGCGGGCAUGCCUGUUCGAGCGUCAUUACAACCCUCAGGCCCCCGGGCCUGGCGUUGGGGAUCGGCGAGGCGCCCCCCGCGGGCACGCGCCGUCCCCCAAAUACAGUGGCGGUCCCGCCGCAGCUUCCAUUGCGUAGUAGCUAACACCUCGCAACUGGAGAGCGGCGCGGCCAUGCCGUAAAACACCCAACUUCUGAAUGUUGACCUCGAAUCAGGUAGGAAUACCCGCUGAACUUAAGCAUAUCAAUAAGCGAGGA
This 352-nucleotide unclassified non-coding RNA is filed under the name soil metagenome. RNAcentral describes it as "partial contains 5.8S ribosomal RNA, internal transcribed spacer 2, and large subunit ribosomal RNA". The stretch from base 1 to 120 matches the Rfam family "5.8S ribosomal RNA", at positions 35 to 154 of the family's 154-position model. The record is from RNAcentral.